CACAGUUUGGGGACCACUGCCAUAAAUGGAAUCACUCCCAAGACUUGUUCUUAUUAUGGCUGGCAUCAGGCGUGUGCCCACUGCAGUGUCUCCAUCACAGGGCAGGGGCAGAGCUGGCCCCGGCUAAUCCCCGCUAAUCCCGGGCUGAAUGCGGCUGUACCCGGCUGUGUGUGUGAUGAGCAGCACUGGAGCAGACACCGUCCUCCUCCUCCCCCCGCAGCCACAAUAGGCGGCUAUUCUUAUUCUAAUGCCGGGGACACAUAUGCUGCUCAGUCCCCUCCUGUCUGCUCGGGGUUGGGGGGGCUUCUAUCCCACAAUCCUCUCCAUCCUGCGCCCCUCCUCUCCGGGGGCUGUCUCGGCCUCUCCCCCCCAGCAGCAGGAAGAGAGUUGACCGCCUGAUGCCAGGCUGUGUGACUACUGCACUUCUGGCUGGAUGAUCGCAGUGCCAGGCUCCCUCCUCCAUCCCUGCAUGCUGAUGUGCCAGUCUGCACUGAGCCCUGCACCCUCUCCACCCAGCCUCAGCACCAUCUGCCCAUUGCCUGCCACACUUCUCUUUGAUGCUGUUUACUUGGUGCCCUCUGUUCUGCAUCACCCCCCAUCAUCAUCAUCACCACUUGGGACUACUUUAUAGCUUAACCCUUUACUUACUUCUGACUUGCCCCCCAGUAACCCUGUGAUCUGGCUGUGCCCCCUCCCUUCAUGGUGAUAAUGUUGCUGCAUCCAGCAUUGUGAUAACUCCUAAAAACUGCAUUUUUUGGGCACUGGAGGUGGAGCUUGUACCCAGCUACAGCAGCAACAAGGGGGUCUGCAAGUGGCCUGCAAGGGAUCUCAUUGGAAAAGAUGGACGCUAGCAAAAUGACUGUGAGUAUAAACAAAGCCAUCAACACUCAAGAAGCGGCCGUGAAAGAGAAACAUGCAAGAACUUGUAUUUUGGGAACUCACCAUGAGAAGGGAGCUCAGACAUUCUGGGCAGCUGUCAACCGGCUGCCCCUGUCAAGCAAUGCGGUCCUCUGCUGGAAAUUUUGCCACGUGUUUCACAAACUGCUCCGUGAUGGACACCCUAAUGUUUUGAAGGACUCUUUGCGAUAUAAGAAUGAACUAAUAGACAUGAGCCGGAUGUGGGGGCAUCUUAGUGAUGGCUAUGGCCAAUUAUGCAGUAUCUAUCUGAAGCUCCUGAACACCAAGAUGGAUUUUCACACAAAGAAUCCUCGUUUCCCUGGAAACCUUCAGAUGACUGACAGACAGCUGGAUGAAGCGGGAGAGAACGAUGUCAAUAAUUUCUUUCAGCUUACGGUGGAAAUAUUUGACUACAUGGAGUGGGAGCUCAAUCUCUUUCAUACAGUUUUUAAAUCAUUGGACAUGUCCCGUUCUGUGUCUGUCACCGCUGCUGGCCAGUGCCGUCUUUCACCUCUAAUCCAAGUCAUACUAGACUGCAGCCACUUGUAUGACUACACUGUGAAACUCCUCUUCAAACUUCACUCUUGCCUUCCUACAGAUACAUUACAGGGUCAUCGAGAUCGGUUUAUGGAACAGUUUCAAAAGUUGAAGGACUUGUUUUACCGUUCAAGUAACCUGCAAUACUUCAAACGCCUACUGCAGAUUCCACAACUUCCAGAGAACCCACCAAACUUUUUGAGAGCUUCUGCCUUAUCUGAGCACAUUAGCCCGGUGGUUCUCAUUCCUACAGGAAACUCUCCCCCGGACAGUGAAACAUUAGUGGAGACUGAUGAUCUUGUUGGGAUGGACUCUUCAUCUAUCCAGAGUAUCCCUGAAAAUAAAUUUGAUGAUAUAUUCGGCAGCUCCUUUAGCAAUGACCCUUUCAAUUUCAGCAGCCAGAAUGGCAUGACAAGGGAUGACAAAGAUCGGCUCAUAGAACAGCUGUAUAAAGAAAUAGCCAUUCUAAGGGAUGAUUUGGGAAACUUCAAAGCAGAGAGUCACCGGUUGGUUAGCAGUCUGAGGGGUCGGAUCCAAGAACUGGAGGCAGAGUUAGCGGAGCAGAAGCAUCACAGAGAGCAGGCAGUGGACGAAAAUGAGUUUCUGCGCACCGAGCUGGAGGAGCUGAAAAGGAAGAGACAGGAUACCGAGAAAGCCCAGAAGAGCCUCACUGAAAUAGAAAGAAAAUCCAUAGCAAAUGAGCAGAGAUAUACCAAGCUGAAGGAGAAGUAUGCAGAGCUUGUGCGGAGCCAUGCUGAUCUCUUGAGAAAGAAUGCUGAAGUCACAAAGCAGAUGACUGUGGCUCGAGAAGCUCUGGGGGACAUGGAACGCUCAAGAAAAGAGCUUGAGAAUUCGUAUCAACGUGUGAAUGAACAUACACAGAGGAAGGUGCAGGAACAGAUGCAUCAGAUGGAUGAGUUACAGGGGGCGCUAGAGAGCAGACAACAGGAAGUUCAACUCCUACAAAGCAGCAUAGCAACCUCCAAUCAGGAUUACCUCACACGGUUUAAGGAACAUGAGGAGGGUUUUCUACAACGCUUGAUGCAGGAGGUAGAAGGAAUUAUCCAAGAGGCGCUUCAGCAGCUAGACGAACCACUGUACACCAGCGGCAGUGUGUCUACAGACUUUCUAAUCUCCAGAACAGUGGCGGCGGUAGAGAGCACUGAGAAAUUAGACGAGGCAUGGAAGAGACACAUGUCUGAUACUUCAGAUGUGAAUUCCUUGUUGCCAAAUCUGGUCCAGUUUGCACAUAGAAUAAGUGAUGUGAUCAUGCAAGGAGCCCAGACCAGGACAUCUGACAAGCUGUGUGAUAGCUGUCGUACAUGUGGUACCGAAGCUUUGAACUAUCUCUCCACCCUGAAGAACAAAGCCAUACAGAGUGAAGCCGACUGUAGCCAGAUUACUGCCACGCUAAAGCACAUUGCUGAUAUUGCCCAGGAGCUGCGGCCCCCUUCACUUGAUAUUAAAGAGGAGGAGCUGGGAGACCUGGUGGAGAAGGAGAUGGCAGCCACGGCGGCAGCUGUCGAAACUGCUGCCUCCAGAAUUGAGGAAAUGCUCAAAAAGUCACGGACAGAUGAUACUGGACUAAAAUUACAAGUCAAUGAACAGAUUUUAGGCUCAUGCACAGAUCUUAUGCAGGCUAUUCAAGCCUUGAUACUGGCUUCAAAGGACCUCCAAAAGGAAAUCGUGGAGAGUGGAGGAGGUGCAGCAUCUACAAAAGAAUUUUAUGCUAAAAACUCGAGGUGGACAGAAGGGCUGAUCUCAGCCUCCAAGGCAGUGGGUUGGGGUGCUACUGUGAUGGUGGAUGCUGCGGACCUUGUGGUCCAAGGACAGGGGAAAUUUGAAGAUCUUAUUGUUUGUUCCCAUGAAAUUGCAGCCAGCACUGCCCAGCUUGUAGCGGCUUCCAAGGUAAAGGCAGAUAAGAACAGUUCUAACUUGACCAGACUACAACAAGCCUCUAAAGUUGUAAAUCAUAAUGCUGCUGGGGUGGUGGCUUCUACAAAGUCAGUCAAGUCACAGAUAGAAGAAGUAGAAACAAUGGACUUCUCUAGUAUGACCCUCACUCAGAUCAAGCGUCAAGAGAUGGACUCACAGGUUCGAGUGCUGGAGUUGGAGAACCAAUUGCAAAAAGAGAGAGAAAAACUUGGAGAUUUAAGGAAGAAGCACUAUGAAUUAGCCGGAGUCUCAGAAGGGUGGGGAGAUGCUGCUGAAUAGGCUGUAUUACGGCUUCCACUCAACAUACAGAACGCACACAGCAGAUAACUUUGAAAGCACACGUCUAUGGCAUUCAAUUCAGAUCUUCUCAACACAGCCUGAACUGGCCACGUCUAUCUGGUUCUGAGUUUUUCCUAAUGGGCUACAGAAUGGCGGAAAGGAAGGAGACGAGUAUCGAUGAUGCAACAGGGAGGAUUCACGAACCUGUAUACUGCUCCCACGCUUAACCACGACUCACCUUCCAUGCUUGGGAGACAAAUAUAUUCCAUUUCUUGAUAUAUAUGUUAGUUCAGGAUCACAUGAAGGGACCAGAACAACUCAACAGGGUGCAGAGUAUUAGCUCUUGCCUUGGACGCCAGACAGCCUGUGAGAUUCUGGCACCUAAAGGAGACGAUUAGGUGCUUAAUAGCAGCAUUCAGUUAAUUCCAUUCAGCUAAAUACAAUUCAUUAUAUGGUGUGGAGUGACCAGGAGCACAAAUAAGCCCCUAGGGGGCGUAUGAGAGACAGAGACCUUCAGCUAUUGUUCAGACAUAUUUAAAUUAGUUGGCGAAGAAAAUGGACUACAACUUUUGCUUUAUAGGUUACUGGACAAUGUUAUAGUCACAGAAAGAGAGAAUGACUUGAUAUUAUUGGUGCUGUAAACUUAACAAAAACAGCAACGUUUUGGGCAUAAAAAUAAUGUAUUGGUUUUAACCAAACAUGUAGAAUUGUUUGGAAGACAUCAAUAUUAUAUAUUGUAUAAAUGUACAGUGGGCUCUGUGACCAGAAGACUUGAGAGUAUUCGCACUCAUGACCUAAGAUCACUCAGUAAACUUAAGACCCCCAACACUGAUCUCUGUCCAUGAAAUGUCCCAUUUUCUGGACAAAUCCCUUGUGAAAUCUUUCCUUUGGUAGGUGCUAUAUAUGGGUCUAUUCCCCGGGGUCCUAUCAUAUCCUGCACUGCCAUCUGAGUUUACAGCAGGAAGAAAGAUGUGGAGGAAUUGAGGCCAUGGAUUCUGGAUACACAUUCUGUGACUGUAAGGGAAGACAUUAUAUAGACCAGUGGUCCGCAGGUUGAAGACCACUGAUAUAGACCAUGGUGUUAUAAUGUUUUCACAUUUGUGCCAUAAGGCUUGGCACAAGUAGAUGUCACUAUUGCAUUUACACUAAUAAAUCCAUGUUCAUUUUUUCCUGCUUCUUUUUAUUCUGUAACAGAAAUGCCUUAGAAUUCUUAAAGGAUAAAGUUGAAAGUUCCAAAAUAUUUAGACAUUUUGAAUUUCUUCGUAGGUUGAAUACGUUUUUUUUAAAUUAAAGUUAAAGCAUGACAUAAAAAAUAUCUUGGUUGCAGAAA
Hyla sarda is the source of this 4978-nucleotide RNA transcript. It is a transcript of the gene named huntingtin interacting protein 1, with no coding region annotated. Lineage: Eukaryota; Metazoa; Chordata; Amphibia; Anura; Hylidae. The transcript has 31 exons. The record is from RefSeq and is a predicted model, not a curated record.